RNAcentral lists this long non-coding RNA (2264 nucleotides) under Gallus gallus (chicken). Its description in RNAcentral is "lncRNA (ENSGALG00010026891.1)". Lineage: Eukaryota; Metazoa; Chordata; Aves; Galliformes; Phasianidae. The record is from RNAcentral.
CUAUUUUGUGAACAUUUUAUUAUUCUUUUAUUAGCUUUUUCCAUAGGCUUAUUCUUCCGGAGAGCUCUGUCCCUGGCACUACCUAUUAAAGAUGUCAGCAUGGACAAGGUGAUGGACCCAGACAGACUGGGAGCCCCUCACAACUCUGACAUCCUGGGAUCUGUCAUGCUGGCAGUAAGCAAAAAUGUUUACAGCUGUGUCCUGAACACAAGCUGGUCUGGAGGCCCCAGUGGAGGCCCUGCUUCGUGGAGAGGUGCCGGCACCCUGGUGCUGUGUGGCCAGCUGUGCCCGAGCUGUUCAACCAACUGUGUAAUUGAAAAGCUUUUUGAUUUUUCCCCUCCUUUUGCAAACAGCCUGCGUUUUGUUCUGCGGCAUCAAAGGCCAGGAGCUCGGAGGAACAAUGGGUCUGCAGGAGCCCUGGGGAACAAUGGCUGUACCUGGUCCUGGGAAGAAAGCAAGUACUUGGAAGAACAGAGAGAGCUCCCAGUUCAGCAACACAAUUGGCCUCAUCUGGAAAUCUAACUUCGGAGAUCUACACCUUGGCAUGGUCACCCAGAGAAACUGAACUGCAGAGCUGCUGCCGUAGACUGAGCUGAGAGACAACUUAGCUCGUCAGUGCAAUAUUUACUGCACUACUGGGAACUGAUGACAUUAUUGAGUGUUGAAAUAGGAUGGAGCAGUGGAGGAUGGUGUUUUCCCUGCAAACAGGUGGAUGGUAUGCUUUGUCUAAAAGGUGUUUUACAGCUUUAAAGCAGCAGGAUCUUCUUUGUCACUUGAACAGGAAGCCUUUGCUGCUAAGAAUAGCGCAUACAAGCGCCUGCUGUGCUCACACCUACUAUGUAUUUCAAGGAGAAAUUUGGGGGGGUUAAAAGCUCUGAGCAUCUUUUCUGGGGCCCUAUGGACCUCACCAUUUACUUUCACUGGAAAGAUUCCCCACUGUCUUGCAUUUGGCUGAAGUGAACAAGUGAGAUUCCCAAUGUGUGACUUCUGCCAGCUCGGAUCCUGGGAAGAGUCCACCUCUGAUCCCUGAAGUUAGAUGAUGCAACUCACUGCACAUUGGGGUCUCACUGAAUAUAAGUGGAGUGUGUUAUUCUUCCUGACUUUCCAGUCUCCUCUUCAGUGCUGUUCUGGGAAGAAAGGAGGAUGCUUCUGGAUAUUGGAGUCGUUUCCUCAGGAAUGACCCAGUGGAUGGGACUGCUGUAGGAUUUUUUGGCUGCAGAGCGCACUACUCUUGUGAGCAGUAUCAUUGCUCUGCUGUGAAACUGCAGUGUUUGCCACUGAGACCCUGCUGAGUGACAGGAAAGUUCUACCCAGAUCUCAGAAAAUCAGAGGUUCACUUUGAUAAGUAGAGUCCUCACAGUGCGUGAAACCAAAUGAGCUGUGCCAAGUGUGGGGCUGAGAAUAGCAUGGUGAUAUUUUGGCAGGUGAAAGGCAAAGAACUUUUGAUCUCCAGGUUCAGAGAAAACUGUGUAAAGAUGAGGUUAUUUGGAGUGCAGAUCCAUACUGUGUGGUCUGAGCCCGAUGCACUGAACUCCAGACCUGGGACUGUGGUUUUUGGGAGUUUCCCGCUGCUCUCCAGAGAGGUGACUGCAACUUCUCCAGAAUUCUGGGCAGCCUUUAAGCCUGCUGGCUUGGAAACUGAAGCACCAGAGCUGCAAUCACUCAGGUUUUGUUUGCCAAGGAUUUACCCAGAGCCCUGGGCAGCUCUUGACUUUUUGCCUUACCUAAGGCAAGGAGAUUAGAUAACAGCUUGGAAUGAGAGUGAAGAAAGUCCAUGCACAUGGAGUAUCUUGCUGCCUCAGCUGUUGGUGAGGUCAUGGGGAUGCCUUUUGGGCUGGUAUUAGUCCAGGAUAUUAUUCUAAAUGGGAGUUCAGCAUAUCUUGGUUGGAUACUUUGCUGGAAAACUUGCACCUGCAUCAUAUGGGCAUUUGGCAUCAUCUAGGCUUUGGAAGUCUCGUGUGCCUGUGCUUUGGAGUUUUAAGGGGUGCAAGACCAUGCAGUGUGGUGGUUAUAUCCAGGAGACGUGAGGGGAGGCCUAAUAAAGAGACAACUGAGUGGCCUGGAUUGGUUCUAUGAAGAAUGCAAAACAAUCCUGGGCCAUCUCAGAGUAAGCUGCACUCAUGGUGCCUCUUGAACCCAUGUCCUGUUAUUGUUGGUGUGGAACAUGAGUGUCUGGGCCAAUGAAAAUAAGGAAGGCAGCUUGACAGACACAGAUUUUAUCUUUUGAGAUUCGUCAUGACCUUUCUAGUGUUUAAUAAAUAAAG